This 372-nucleotide ribosomal RNA is filed under the name uncultured organism. RNAcentral describes it as "partial 16S ribosomal RNA". It matches the Rfam family "Bacterial small subunit ribosomal RNA", at positions 526 to 896 of the family's 1533-position model. The record is from RNAcentral.
AGAGGGGUGCGAGCGUUAAUCGGAAUAACUGGGCGUAAAGGGCGCGUAGGUGGGUUAUCUAAGCAUGAUGUGAAAGCCCUGGGCUUAACCUGGGGAUGCCAUUGUGAACGGGGUAACUAGAGUCUCGUAGAGGAAAGUGGAAUUUCCGGUGUAGCGGUGAAAUGCGUAGAUAUCGGAAGGAAGAUCAGUGGCGAAGGCGGCUUUCUGGACGAAGACUGACACUGAGGCGCGAAAGCGUGGGUAGCGAACAGGAUUAGAUACCCUGGUAGUCCACGCUGUAAACGAUGAGUACUAGCUGUUGGAGUGUUAAACACUUUAGUGGCGCAGCAAACGCGUUAAGUACUCCGCCUGGGGAGUACGGCCGCAAGGCUA